Podarcis muralis (Common wall lizard) is the source of this 791-nucleotide non-coding RNA. The record is from RefSeq and is a predicted model, not a curated record. NCBI's taxonomy places the organism in Eukaryota, Metazoa, Chordata, Lepidosauria, Squamata, Lacertidae.
GGUAGUUUGGCCCAUUUGUGAUAUUGCUCCCAAAAAGAACUUUGGGUUUCUUGAGGGGGUGCUUCCCUCUAAAAGGGCAAGCAGGGGUACCUGGACAGGUGGUGGGCUGCCUCAAGUCUGUUCUCUCACUGGACACAUUUAUGUCUGGCCUAGCAGGUGAUCCUGGGGCUUGGCCCGUUUUGCCCUAGAAUUUGAUGGCCUCUGGCAGUGUUUCCAGCCUGCUUUCUACCUUCUGCCCGGGGCCUUCUUCAUCAGGGGCCUUCCAUCUCUAGUAAAGAGGGAGAGGAUUUUCCUCCUUCUGGGCCCCUUUUUUUCUGAUUCACAAUUUUUCCAGAACCGAGCUAGGUCCUUAGGGAGGAAGGUAGCGUCCCCAUGUGGUGCACGAAGCAUUGGUUUCACCGGUUCCUCACAUUGUUUAGUUUUUUGCAGACUAUGGCAGGGCUUUUGCAGAUACCUCCAGAGCUUGCCUCUCCUGCAGAGGAUGACUUGCUGAUGCCCCAGGUGCCUUCUUCCGGAAGGAAGCGUCCUCGGAGGCGGCAAUCCAGGAGGAGGGCAAAGAGGAGCAGGGAACGUGAUUCCACUUCCUUGUCAGGGAUGAUGGAGUGCACCUCUCUCCAGCUGGUUAUGACAUCUGGUUUACUGCUGUGUCGUUGGGGUUGAGGAAUUGGGUGCAGUGGUUUCUGGCGUGCUUCUUGUUGUUUAGUAGUCCCUAAGUGAUCACAACUAAGGAGUGCAAUUCCAUCCAAGUGCCCAUCAGCAUGCUAGCCUAUAAACACUGUUAAUAAGUACAG